CGGCGGCGGACGAUGGGAACUAGAUUGGUGGCGGCGGGCGACGUCGCGACUGGAGAAUCGGAACCUGGGACGCUUCUUGAAGCUGUACUGGGGUGUACCAGUGCUCGUGGCUGUCAAUGGCGUAGCGCCGUCAAGUCCAGGUCGACGGCGAGGAGCAUGCAGUCAUGGGAGGGUGGGCUUCGGGAGAGGAGGCACUUGCAGUUCUUGAAUAAGUUGCCGGCGAGGCAUUAGCUCCACACAACCUCCCUGGAGCCCUCAUCUUCCUCACCACAAUCUCCCUGAGACGCUGACUCCAUCCUCCAUAUUGCUGCAACCUCCUUGGCUCCCUCCUUUGCCUCGAUGUGACCUCCCCAACUAAGGUAGCAUAGCCAGCCUCCUUCUUGUCCAAUUUUUUACAUACUGUGCUUGUGUUGCAUCUCCUAUAUUGCAAUGUGCAACGGUAGGUAGGCAAGGAAAUACAUUAAUUUUCAGAAGCUAAUUUGGUUGGUAUUUUGGUUGUUGUAGACCCAAGAAAGUAGUUCAUCUUAAUUAUGUGGUUGGUAUUUUCAGAAACAAGUUCAUCUUGUCAGUAAGCUCAUAAUUCACUUGGUUUCAGCACUACAUCUUCUUUUAAAAUAUUGGAUUCAUCACUUGAUUAUUUCUGACAAAAGUUUGGCAAUAGAUCCAAUUGAUAGGUUUGUAGAAGUUUAUGCAUCGAUCGCCUUGUUGUGGUUGUCGAUGCCUGCCUGGUUGACCUCACCUUUUGGAUGAAGUUAUAUUUUUGCUGGUAAAGUUUUGUUUGCUGAACAAAGGCAGAAGCUGCCUGUUGUGUUGAACUGUUAAAAUAAACUUGGUUGAUCAUCCAAAGCUUCUAAUUAAGUAGAAUGUUCAUCUUGUUAGGGUUCUUGGAGGGACUGAAAAUUGGCUGGAUGCAUGUUCAUCUUUACCAAAAGAAAAAUGUUCACAUGUUACAUGAUCAGGUUCUUGGUUUUACAAUGUAUAUACCCUUUUUCUUUUCCCGGUCCUUGACUUGCAGCAUGUAUUACUACUUUGGUUCAUUCUUGCAUGCAGCAGUAGUGUUACAAGGAUAUGUUUGUAUGUUAGGACUAUUUUCUCAAGUGAUUUUUGUUGUUCUUUUGUUCAAUACAUGGAUCUCUUUGUAUGUUAGAUGGAUAUGCUAGGACCAUUACAUGAUCUGUUUGUAUGAAGCCUUCUUGUUGCUCUGCACAUGCAUUUUGUUAUUUAGAGCGCAAAGAUACAAGUUCUGCUGGAAGCACUUUAAGAGUGGCUCAAAUCCUUGCUAUUUGUUUUCUUCAUCUCCUCAAAUCCUUCCCAUUUGUAAUGUCUCAUUGAUCUUGUCGCAAAAAACUGAGCUUUUAAUGAGUUUGUUAUAUGUUUA
This is a long non-coding RNA of Brachypodium distachyon (stiff brome), 1378 nucleotides long. RefSeq lists it as uncharacterized. The transcript is spliced from 2 exons. The record is from RefSeq and is a predicted model, not a curated record. Lineage: Eukaryota; Viridiplantae; Streptophyta; Magnoliopsida; Poales; Poaceae.